CACGGACGCAGCAUCAUGGGGUCAAUUUUGUUUCCCAGAACUUCCCCUCCUCCUCCGCCUUGUCCCCUUCCUCUGCUCUAUCGGUCUCUGUCCUAGUUUGGUUUCCUUUAUCACAGCACAAUUCCUAAUAGCCAAGCUAUGGAGCCAGCCUAGGUGUCCGAAAAUGGAUGAGUGGAAAAGGAAACGUGGUCUCUUCACACAAUGGAGAAAGCUCUGAAUAAAGAUUCGGCCAUGAAGAAGAAUGAAAUCAUGCCAUUUCCAGGACAAUGGAUGGAACUUGAGAGCACUAUGUCAAGUGAAGUGAGCCAAACUCAGAAAGUCAAGGGUCAUAUGUCUCCCUCCUAUGUGAAAGCUAGAGGGGAAAGAGCAGAGGUUUUCUUGGCCGGCUAAAAGGCCAGCAUCCCGUGGAGGUGCUCCCACUCAAGCGUUCCCCUGGACGGAUGACCUGACUUCGUCCCCCCUUGCCAUCUGGUUUUUACCAGAGAGAAGCAAGGUGAGUGUGAAGAUCCCAGGAGAAAUCUCUUGGAAGACCGCAAGAUGCGACUUCACAUGCCAGUGGUCCAGCCCUGCGACCCAGUGGACGGUUUUUGGGAAAUUCGCCCCAGUCUCGCCUGGCCUUUCCUGCCGUCCUUCCCAAAGAGGCCAGGGCUAGUGAGGGAAAGGUGGCUUUGUUAGGAGGAGGAGCUCAUGCAGGACGCCUGUCUGUCACAGGGAUGCUCAGGUGCACCUGUCAGCCGCUGUCUUGUGGGGUGGGCGGGGAAGAAGUGGCUUCCCCUUCCUACUUCUGAGUCAUAGGUCAGGUAUAAAUCAUGCCCUUUCCCUCACACAGCCACCUCGAGGCGCCGGAUAAACGCCCUGGCUCAGCGUCGUAAGCAGGGGGUUGCUCCCAGCAGACUCUGCAGAGCAGCUGGUUGCAGCUGUGCACCUGCCCAGUGUGUGGGGGGUUCCUGGUGCCCCACAGCCAGGUGGCCUCUCUGGUCUUCCUCAGCCUUUCCCCACUGACUUCCUGAAAGUCAACCUUGCUGGGAUCCCAGGAGGCAGCAGAAGGCUCCGUACACCUAUGACGGUGCCCUGGGCGGGCACACAGGGACAUAGAAGAGGGACCAGCAUGUUUGCCCUGUGAACCCAAGAAUGGCUGAACUGCACGGGCCUGUGUCCUCCUCUCUACAAUGGGAUGCCUCAUGUUUAUUCCUGAAUUUUCUUGCUUCUGUCAGGAAUCUGAUCAGAGUUUAAGUCAGUUUUCUAAGCCUUGUCUCUUUUGAAGUGAAAUAUUUAAUUUUCCCAUGGAAGGAAAUGAAAGUCUCAGAAACGAAAUGGGAGAUGUUUCAGGGUGUGUGUCGGAGGCUACAGGUGCUCUCCUUGUCCUCAGAACACUCCUGCCGUUUUACUCUUUAAAAUGUGCAGUAUGAUUGCUUCUGAGAUAGGUGUAUAGAAUGACUCACGUGCUAUCACCUCCACCCAAUCUUCUUGGCUGUCUUGCCUUGGACAGAGGUUCCCCAAGAGGGACGGUGUCCUCUUAUCCGGUUUCCCACUCCCCAGAGCCAGGUGUUUCCUAAGUGUGCCCGGGGCUGUUGAAAGGACAUGUCAGUUGGGCAACUAGACUGUCUGUGCGUGGAGGGCAGGAACCGACCUGUCCUGUUCACCCUUUCUUGUCCAGUUCACUGCAUCUGACUUCAGAGCAGUGGCCAGUCAUGUAACUGCUAAUGAGUUUCCUUAUCAAAUGGAGUUCUAAAUGGGCUUACGUGAAAGGGCAAAUGGCCCAAUAGACAGCCCUGGGAAAGGUGCCAAACUGGAAAUCCCACGUUCAGGAGGUGACUAUGCACGGUAGGGAGGCUGGGCCCAUCCUAGCUAACCCUGAAGAGACCUCAGAAUCAGAAACACUGUGCAUUGCCAGCUGCAAGCAAGCCUCCCGCCUGCCACUCCCUCCUGCCUGCCACUCCCUCCUGCCUCCCUCUGCUACACAACCCCCCCACCCCCCCACCCCCGCACUUGCC
This 1994-nucleotide long non-coding RNA is filed under the name Marmota monax (woodchuck). The record is from RNAcentral. Lineage: Eukaryota; Metazoa; Chordata; Mammalia; Rodentia; Sciuridae.